RNAcentral lists this ribosomal RNA (427 nucleotides) under uncultured bacterium. Its description in RNAcentral is "partial 16S ribosomal RNA". It matches the Rfam family "Bacterial small subunit ribosomal RNA", at positions 355 to 774 of the family's 1533-position model. The record is from RNAcentral.
UGGGGAAUAUUGGACAAUGGGCGAAAGCCUGAUCCAGCCAUGCCGCGUGUGUGAAGAAGGUCUUCGGAUUGUAAAGCACUUUAAGUUGGGAGGAAGGGCAUUAACCUAAUACGUUAGUGUUUUGACGUUACCGACAGAAUAAGCACCGGCUAACUCUGUGCCAGCAGCCGCGGUACUACAGAGGGUGCAAGCGUUAAUCGGGAUUACUGGGCGUAAAGCGCGCGUAGGUGGUUUGUUAAGUUGGAUGUGAAAUCCCCGGGCUCAACCUGGGAACUGCAUUCAAAACUGACUGACUAGAGUAUGGUAGAGGGUGGUGGAAUUUCCUGUGUAGCGGUGAAAUGCGUAGAUAUAGGAAGGAACACCAGUGGCGAAGGCGACCACCUGGACUAAUACUGACACUGAGGUGCGAAAGCGUGGGGAGCAAACA